CUCAGAGCCACUCAGGCAAAGAAUGCACUUUUAGCAAAAAAAAAAAAAAAAAGAAAAGGGAGAAAUGGCCUCAGGUGUAAGCAACUGGAAUCGUUCCUACAUGAUUUCCGGUGGCAGAAACACAACAAGGUGCCUCUCAGAUGACUAGAAGUGAAAUCUCAUGCCUUGGAAUUGCCAGAUAAACAUUCCUUGGCCUUUGUUGUACACAUCCUAAAAAUUAAUAGCAUGAGUUUACUGGUGCAGAGAACCACUGCAAGAAGAAAAUGGUUCACCUAAAGAAAAUUUUUAGUAGUGUCUUUGUAAAAGCCACCCCCAGAGCCUAAAACUGCUGUACAUAUUGGAAUCUUAUAUGACCUGGGGAUUUCUAAAUCUGAAGCCCAUCUGGGAACUCAUCUUGAAACACGGACAAGCCAAGGUCAAGAAUAAGACCAUCUCUCCAACAGACAACACAGUGAGGAGCACCUGAGGAAGUUUGCUGUCAUUUGCUUAGAAGACCUCAUUCAUGAUGUUGCCUUCCCAAGGAAGUAUUUCCAGAUCUCAUGGUUCCUGCACCCUUUCCAGCUCUUGGUGGCCCAUCACGCUAUCAAGAAUAGAGUGAGGUUCUUCCAUGAGAUGGGCUCGCCUGGCUGUCAGAGUGAAUGCAGCAAUCAGCUCAACCACCAGCUGAACU
This 670-nucleotide long non-coding RNA is filed under the name Homo sapiens (human). RNAcentral describes it as "non-protein coding lnc-NBPF6-7:1". Lineage: Eukaryota; Metazoa; Chordata; Mammalia; Primates; Hominidae. The record is from RNAcentral.